AUACCAUUGGAUAAGUGCGCUGUCAAUCACUGCUUGAUUUGCGAUGCGGAAUCACAGCACCAUGCUUUUCAAACAGGAGGAGAGACGACUCGACCAUAGACCACGUCUCUGUUCAUGAUAACAGCAAAAGUAGUGAGUGAUGUAACCUACCUACAGCAGAAGGCUACUGAAUCUUCGAUUCAUUGCCCUAGACAUACCCAGUGAUGAAGGCUCCCACCAAACCUUUGAGAGAGAAGAGGACCAGUAUCUGUCUCUGAGCAGGCUUCGCAACAGAAUGGUUCAGAUUCCAAAGGUGACAGUGACAGAGAGCACCGUCCAGUUAACCCACAUGAACAGAC
Myxocyprinus asiaticus (Chinese sucker) is the source of this 338-nucleotide long non-coding RNA. RefSeq lists it as uncharacterized. The transcript is spliced from 3 exons. The record is from RefSeq and is a predicted model, not a curated record. Lineage: Eukaryota; Metazoa; Chordata; Actinopteri; Cypriniformes; Catostomidae.